RNAcentral lists this ribosomal RNA (244 nucleotides) under uncultured Actinomycetales bacterium. RNAcentral describes it as "partial 16S ribosomal RNA". It matches the Rfam family "Bacterial small subunit ribosomal RNA", at positions 89 to 334 of the family's 1533-position model. Lineage: Bacteria; Bacillati; Actinomycetota; Actinomycetes; Actinomycetales. The record is from RNAcentral.
ACUCGAGUGGCGAACGGGUGAGUAACACGUGGGUGAUCUGCCCUUGACUUUGGGAUAACUUCAGGAAACUGGGGCUAAUACCGGAUAGGAGCUCCUGCUGCAUGGUGGGGGUUGGAAAGUUUCGGCGGUUGGGGAUGGACUCGCGGCUUAUCAGCUUGUUGGUGGGGUAGUGGCUUACCAAGGCUUUGACGGGUAGCCGGCCUGAGAGGGUGACCGGCCACAUUGGGACUGAGAUACGGCCCAG